RNAcentral lists this non-coding RNA (24 nucleotides) under Mus musculus (house mouse). Lineage: Eukaryota; Metazoa; Chordata; Mammalia; Rodentia; Muridae. The record is from RNAcentral.
UGCAGAACUCUUUUCUACCUUCCC